UCUUCCAGCUCCGCGUGCGCUGUGUGCUGUCGCGUGUAUCUUCGUGGUAACGGAGCGUUCUCAUUUGGGGCAGUACAAGGGCCAUAUUUUUCCCUGCAGCUGAGUUAUUCCCUUUGUGCCUCACCUAUUUUAAAGUUUUUAAAUGUACUCCAAGGUCAUCUUUAAAGCCCUUUCUGUAUCUCAGCUGCUUCACGUUCCUUCCACCUCCACCCGGUGUACGUCAAUCGUGUUCUUGUUCUUCCGGCCCAGGUAGUUCACCGGAUUUACGGCAGCUACUUUUUGUCUCUCUUCAGGCUUUACUUUUCUGAAGGACUUCACUCAUCCAGAAUAGACUUGGAGACUUGAGGCUGAAGAAUAAUUAUUCAUUCUUUUUCAAGUCUUAGGACAGCCGAAACACAAGUCUUAAUUUUACAGCCACUAGGACAUCCAUGAGCCAACAAAUAUUUCUCUGCAUAGCCCACUAGGAUGCCAGAAUGAUGCACACAUCUGUAGAGCUGAGUGUAGUGUUUCUGCUGGAACCAGACAGAACAUGGACGAGCAGAGAUAGGGCAGUAUCAUGGAUCACCAGGAAAAUACUCCUUAUCCAUGAGCAACUGCAUCAUGGGGGGAGACUCUAGUCAAUUUAGUGCUUAGCUUACUUAGGAAGUUGAAGUGUUCUAAAGAAGAGAUACCAGUUUUUAACAAAGCCUUUCUGGAGAGCAUCUUUGAAAUCAUCACCAGUCUUUGCAGGUCUGGGUUCAGAUAGAAUCGUCUGUGUUGAAAAUAAAUUGAUAUACUGUAAAAAGGACUAGCAGGAUAAUUUAUAUUCAGCAGAGGCUCAAAUACUAAUUCAGAGAGAAGAUUUCAAGAUGAAAUGUAUCCUGGAGUUAAAAAAAAAUCUAAUUACCUUGACUACUGCAUUUCUUAGCAAACCACAUUUUACUUUUGUAUAUGAGCUAUGAAGGCAGUGUUCUAGUAGGGUCUUACAGAGUGUGUUUUUUCAUUAAAAUCUAUAGAAUUUGUAUAUUCAUGAGAACAAAAAUGAUAAAAUUUUCAGAAAAUUGAUUCAGAAUGGUCAUUUUUAAUAAGCAUAUCUGUCUCUAAAACCAGAUUCUUCAUUUAUAUUUUAUUAAUUACAUUUAUUUCAAGUCUUAUUAGAAAACAUGUUGAAAUCAUACAAUUUGGAUUUCAAGAAAGAAAAAUAUAUAUGAUUUGCAUCUUCUUACUACAUUUUUUUUCUAUAUGCUAGUGGUAUGUAUUUUUGCUUUUCAUCUUCAUGGGGGUUCACAAUCCUGUUUUUUGUACAUUUUGCUAGUCCUUCAAUUUACAAUGUAUUUUAGAUGCCCUUGCCUGAUUAAAGGACCCGAACAAAUUACAGCCAAGAGAAAAAUAACACAUGUCACCUUUGCAGGUUUAAGCUAUCAUAAUCUUUAACUUUCCUGUCAAAGGAAUUCUUGUCUUCCUUUUGUGCAAAUAUUUAAUUGCUCAGGAUAAUCCAAUUUAUGUUGUCAGGAAGUAGGAAAAUAUAGCGUAUUCUGAAUAUGACCUUCUUUGUUAAAUAUUCUGCUGGCAUCACUCAUGGUUGCUGAAUUGCACAAGCUAUCGAAAUAGAUCUGGAAGCCAACAAGGACCCUGAUUAUGAAUAACAAGCUAUGCUUUAUUAAUCUUCCAAAUAGCUACACAAAUGUUCUUUUUCUCCCAACUUCUUGGAAGAAGAGCAGCAUAAUGGGUAGAUCAAUGGAGUUAACAAAGAAAAGAACAUCACUGUUCGAUUUUUAAAGUUUUAGUCUGUUCUUAUUAUGUUUCUCUUGUUAGCCACAAAGCAAUUUAAUACUCUUUCUGCUUCCUUAUGAUAUUGCAUUUCUUGAAAUUAAAAGGUGAAUACUAUAAGACUUACACCUGUAAGACGAUUGAUUGUAUAAUGUAU
Molecule: long non-coding RNA, 1906 nt
Organism: Acinonyx jubatus (cheetah)
Lineage: Eukaryota; Metazoa; Chordata; Mammalia; Carnivora; Felidae
Exons: 5
Source: RefSeq, a predicted model, not a curated record